GCCUGGGUGGCUCAGUCGGUCGAGCAUCUGACUUUGGCUCGGGUCCCGGUCUCAGGGUUGGUGGGUUCGAGCCCCGCAUCGGGCU
This 85-nucleotide transfer RNA is filed under the name Felis catus (domestic cat). It matches the Rfam family "tRNA". From Rfam's summary of the family: Transfer RNA (tRNA) molecules are approximately 80 nucleotides in length. Lineage: Eukaryota; Metazoa; Chordata; Mammalia; Carnivora; Felidae. The record is from Rfam by way of RNAcentral.